GAUGAACGCUGGCGGCGUGCCUAACACAUGCAAGUCGAGCGAACAGACGAGGAGCUUGCGCCCUUGACGUUAGCGGCGGACGGGUGAGUGACACGUGGAUCAGCUACCUAUAAGACGGGGAUAACUACGGAAAACCGGAUCUACUACCGGCUAAUAUAUUGAACCGCAUGGUUCAAUAGUGAUACGCGCCUUUGCUGUCACUAAUAGCUGGAUCCGCGCCGCAUUAGCUAGUUGGUAAGGUAACGGCUUACCAAGGCUACGAUGCGUAGCCGACCUGAGGGGAUGAUCAGCCACACUGGAACUGAGACACGGUCCAGAGUCCUACGGGAGGCAGCAGUGGGGAAUAUUCGGCAAUGGGCGCAAGCCUGAUGCAGCAACACCGCGUGAGUGAUGAAGGUCUUCGGCUCGUAAAGCCCUGUUGUUGGGGAAGAACAGAUGCGCACGGAUCCCCGCCCGUUUUGACGGUACCUAAUCAGUAAGCCACGGCUAACUACGUG
Molecule: ribosomal RNA, 497 nt
Filed under: uncultured bacterium
Lineage: Bacteria
Description: partial 16S ribosomal RNA
Rfam family: Bacterial small subunit ribosomal RNA
Source: RNAcentral